Homo sapiens (human) is the source of this 600-nucleotide long non-coding RNA. NCBI's taxonomy places the organism in Eukaryota, Metazoa, Chordata, Mammalia, Primates, Hominidae. The record is from Ensembl.
UCUCAGUGAUGUGCUAAAAGGACUCUUCUUGUCCAGAAACCUGAGCUCCAUGUACUAAAGCAAAAUUUGGAGAGCCUCAGAGACAAGAAAAGGAAAGUGAGAAGAGAUAAGGCAUCCUUCCUUGAGCGUGACCCAGGCCUGGACUCUCCCAUGGCAGAAUAGGGACAUCCACAGCAGUCCUACCCUCUCCUCCAGGCCCUACCCAGCCCCGCCCUGUUGGCUCAUGCCCACAACUACUUAACUUCUUGAGCUGCUUGAGGUUGCUGGAGCGGAUGGCAGCCAAUAGCUGGUCACGGGAGUUCUUCUCCUGGGCAGGGAGGACUUUGUCUCCCAUCUUCCUCUGGGUAGCUGAUGUGUCGCUGGUUGUGGAAGCGGAGCUCGGUCAGCGUGUUGUUCUGGAGGAGGGCCCGGAAGAUGGCCAGGAUGCCUUUGCCUGUGAUGUGGUUGGAGUCCAGGUUGAGGCUGGUGAUGGUCUUGUUGGCCUUGAGCAUGAUGGCAAUGGCAAAGGCCACGUGGUCAUCGGCUCGCGUGUUGGCCAAGGCGAACAGCUUAACCACAGUGUUGAACUCCAGAGCCUCAGUAAACCGGACCAAGAUCUCA